CUUGCACUCCUGAUGGUUAGCGGCGGACGGGUGAGUAACACGUAGGCAACCUGCCCCACAGACUGGGAUAACUACCGGAAACGGUAGCUAAUACCGGAUAAUUCCUUUUGGCUCCUGCUAAAAGGAUGAAAGACGGAGCAAUCUGUCACUGCGGGAUGGGCCUGCGGCGCAUUAGCUAGUUGGUGAGGUAACGGCUCACCAAGGCGACGAUGCGUAGCCGACCUGAGAGGGUGAACGGCCA
Molecule: ribosomal RNA, 241 nt
Filed under: Paenibacillus agri
Lineage: Bacteria; Bacillati; Bacillota; Bacilli; Caryophanales; Paenibacillaceae
Description: Bacterial small subunit ribosomal RNA
Rfam family: Bacterial small subunit ribosomal RNA
Source: Rfam by way of RNAcentral